AUUUUGAUCAAAUAAUGCAGGGUUUCUUCUAUGAAGACUAGUGAACCUACUGUUAAUGGUGGAACUCAUGCAAUUCAAGGAAUUCCAACAGGAUUGGACUUGAAGAGUUAUUCAGAAACCCCCAUAUCACCAUCAAAGUUGUUUGAAGUAGUUGCUGAUGACCUGCAGACACUCAACAAAAAUCUUCAAUCGAUUGUAGGUGCAGAAAAUCCAGUUUUAAUGUCUGCAGCUGAGCAUAUAUUUAGUGCCGGUGGGAAGAGGAUGAGACCGGCUCUGGUGUUCUUGGUGUCACGGGCUACAGCAGAGCUACUUGGCUUGAAAUAAGAGCUAGCCUAAAUGAGCAUUUUGGUUCCUGCAGGGAAAUCUCGAGCGUGUCAGUCCCAAAAGAUUUAGAGUCUGGAGGUCCUAAAUGUUUUGCCUACAUCGACUUCAAGGAUUCUUCUAGCAUGAAGAGAGCUCUAGAACUCAAAUGAAACUGAACUUGCUGCUUGAGAAUGAGGACAUGCUCUAUCUACUUUCUAUUGAU
Arachis ipaensis is the source of this 526-nucleotide non-coding RNA. The record is from RefSeq and is a predicted model, not a curated record. Lineage: Eukaryota; Viridiplantae; Streptophyta; Magnoliopsida; Fabales; Fabaceae.